RNAcentral lists this long non-coding RNA (201 nucleotides) under Medicago truncatula (barrel medic). RNAcentral describes it as "long non-coding RNA (MTRU_LNC006580)". Lineage: Eukaryota; Viridiplantae; Streptophyta; Magnoliopsida; Fabales; Fabaceae. The record is from RNAcentral.
GUUAACUUAAAGUCUGUUUCGAAAUCCACAUUGUCAAAUUGCAUAUCACUCAACCAUUGCAAAGCAUAGUGCAGCCCUAAAGCUUCACCCAUAUCCACUGGAACAGUACAAGGGUAUGUCAUAGUCUUAGCCAGAACAAACGUGCCUUCUGCAUCGCGAACACAAAUACCAAUACCUGUACGGUUGACGUGAGAAGAGAAG